This 394-nucleotide ribosomal RNA is filed under the name uncultured bacterium. RNAcentral describes it as "partial 16S ribosomal RNA". It matches the Rfam family "Bacterial small subunit ribosomal RNA", at positions 523 to 918 of the family's 1533-position model. The record is from RNAcentral.
AUACGGAGGAUGCGAGCGUUGUCCGGAAUUACUGGGCGUAAAGGGCGCGUAGGCGGCGCUUCAAGUCGUCUGUCAAAUGGGAGGGCUUAACCCUUUUUCGCAGACGAAACUGGAGAGCUUGAGAAGCAGAGAGGCAAACAGAAUUCCUGGUGUAGCGGUGAAAUGCGUAGAUAUCAGGAAGAAUACCAGUGGCGAAGGCGGUUUGCUGGCUGCAUACUGACGCUGAAGCGCGAAAGCCAGGGGAGCAAACGGGAUUAGAUACCCCGGUAGUCCUGGCAGUAAACGAUGUAUGCUGGGUGUGAGACUAGCGAUAGUUUCGUGCCGAAGUUAACGCGAUAAGCAUACCGCCUGGGGAGUACGGUCGCAAGAUUGAAACUCAAAGGAAUUGACGGGG